Molecule: non-coding RNA, 29 nt
Filed under: Mus musculus (house mouse)
Lineage: Eukaryota; Metazoa; Chordata; Mammalia; Rodentia; Muridae
Source: RNAcentral
UCUGAAUGAGAAACUCCAGGGUAGUUGCU